RNAcentral lists this ribosomal RNA (2904 nucleotides) under Escherichia coli. RNAcentral's name for it is "23S ribosomal RNA". It matches the Rfam family "Bacterial large subunit ribosomal RNA". Lineage: Bacteria; Pseudomonadati; Pseudomonadota; Gammaproteobacteria; Enterobacterales; Enterobacteriaceae. The record is from RNAcentral.
GGUUAAGCGACUAAGCGUACACGGUGGAUGCCCUGGCAGUCAGAGGCGAUGAAGGACGUGCUAAUCUGCGAUAAGCGUCGGUAAGGUGAUAUGAACCGUUAUAACCGGCGAUUUCCGAAUGGGGAAACCCAGUGUGUUUCGACACACUAUCAUUAACUGAAUCCAUAGGUUAAUGAGGCGAACCGGGGGAACUGAAACAUCUAAGUACCCCGAGGAAAAGAAAUCAACCGAGAUUCCCCCAGUAGCGGCGAGCGAACGGGGAGCAGCCCAGAGCCUGAAUCAGUGUGUGUGUUAGUGGAAGCGUCUGGAAAGGCGCGCGAUACAGGGUGACAGCCCCGUACACAAAAAUGCACAUAUUGUGAGCUCGAUGAGUAGGGCGGGACACGUGGUAUCCUGUCUGAAUAUGGGGGGACCAUCCUCCAAGGCUAAAUACUCCUGACUGACCGAUAGUGAACCAGUACCGUGAGGGAAAGGCGAAAAGAACCCCGGCGAGGGGAGUGAAAAAGAACCUGAAACCGUGUACGUACAAGCAGUGGGAGCCUCUUUUAUGGGGUGACUGCGUACCUUUUGUAUAAUGGGUCAGCGACUUAUAUUCUGUAGCAAGGUUAACCGAAUAGGGGAGCCGAAGGGAAACCGAGUCUUAACUGGGCGUUAAGUUGCAGGGUAUAGACCCGAAACCCGGUGAUCUAGCCAUGGGCAGGUUGAAGGUUGGGUAACACUAACUGGAGGACCGAACCGACUAAUGUUGAAAAAUUAGCGGAUGACUUGUGGCUGGGGGUGAAAGGCCAAUCAAACCGGGAGAUAGCUGGUUCUCCCCGAAAGCUAUUUAGGUAGCGCCUCGUGAAUUCAUCUCCGGGGGUAGAGCACUGUUUCGGCAAGGGGGUCAUCCCGACUUACCAACCCGAUGCAAACUGCGAAUACCGGAGAAUGUUAUCACGGGAGACACACGGCGGGUGCUAACGUCCGUCGUGAAGAGGGAAACAACCCAGACCGCCAGCUAAGGUCCCAAAGUCAUGGUUAAGUGGGAAACGAUGUGGGAAGGCCCAGACAGCCAGGAUGUUGGCUUAGAAGCAGCCAUCAUUUAAAGAAAGCGUAAUAGCUCACUGGUCGAGUCGGCCUGCGCGGAAGAUGUAACGGGGCUAAACCAUGCACCGAAGCUGCGGCAGCGACGCUUAUGCGUUGUUGGGUAGGGGAGCGUUCUGUAAGCCUGUGAAGGUGUGCUGUGAGGCAUGCUGGAGGUAUCAGAAGUGCGAAUGCUGACAUAAGUAACGAUAAAGCGGGUGAAAAGCCCGCUCGCCGGAAGACCAAGGGUUCCUGUCCAACGUUAAUCGGGGCAGGGUGAGUCGACCCCUAAGGCGAGGCCGAAAGGCGUAGUCGAUGGGAAACAGGUUAAUAUUCCUGUACUUGGUGUUACUGCGAAGGGGGGACGGAGAAGGCUAUGUUGGCCGGGCGACGGUUGUCCCGGUUUAAGCGUGUAGGCUGGUUUUCCAGGCAAAUCCGGAAAAUCAAGGCUGAGGCGUGAUGACGAGGCACUACGGUGCUGAAGCAACAAAUGCCCUGCUUCCAGGAAAAGCCUCUAAGCAUCAGGUAACAUCAAAUCGUACCCCAAACCGACACAGGUGGUCAGGUAGAGAAUACCAAGGCGCUUGAGAGAACUCGGGUGAAGGAACUAGGCAAAAUGGUGCCGUAACUUCGGGAGAAGGCACGCUGAUAUGUAGGUGAAGUCCCUCGCGGAUGGAGCUGAAAUCAGUCGAAGAUACCAGCUGGCUGCAACUGUUUAUUAAAAACACAGCACUGUGCAAACACGAAAGUGGACGUAUACGGUGUGACGCCUGCCCGGUGCCGGAAGGUUAAUUGAUGGGGUCAGCGCAAGCGAAGCUCUUGAUCGAAGCCCCGGUAAACGGCGGCCGUAACUAUAACGGUCCUAAGGUAGCGAAAUUCCUUGUCGGGUAAGUUCCGACCUGCACGAAUGGCGUAAUGAUGGCCAGGCUGUCUCCACCCGAGACUCAGUGAAAUUGAACUCGCUGUGAAGAUGCAGUGUACCCGCGGCAAGACGGAAAGACCCCGUGAACCUUUACUAUAGCUUGACACUGAACAUUGAGCCUUGAUGUGUAGGAUAGGUGGGAGGCUUUGAAGUGUGGACGCCAGUCUGCAUGGAGCCGGCCUUGAAAUACCACCCUUUAAUGUUUGAUGUUCUAACGUUGGCCCCUGAUCGGGGUUGCGGACAGUGUCUGGUGGGUAGUUUGACUGGGGCGGUCUCCUCCUAAAGAGUAACGGAGGAGCACGAAGGUUGGCUAAUCCUGGUCGGACAUCAGGAGGUUAGUGCAAUGGCAUAAGCCAGCUUGACUGCGAGCGUGACGGCGCGAGCAGGUGCGAAAGCAGGUCAUAGUGAUCCGGUGGUUCUGAAUGGAAGGGCCAUCGCUCAACGGAUAAAAGGUACUCCGGGGAUAACAGGCUGAUACCGCCCAAGAGUUCAUAUCGACGGCGGUGUUUGGCACCUCGAUGUCGGCUCAUCACAUCCUGGGGCUGAAGUAGGUCCCAAGGGUAUGGCUGUUCGCCAUUUAAAGUGGUACGCGAGCUGGGUUUAGAACGUCGUGAGACAGUUCGGUCCCUAUCUGCCGUGGGCGCUGGAGAACUGAGGGGGGCUGCUCCUAGUACGAGAGGACCGGAGUGGACGCAUCACUGGUGUUCGGGUUGUCAUGCCAAUGGCACUGCCCGGUAGCUAAAUGCGGAAGAGAUAAGUGCUGAAAGCAUCUAAGCACGAAACUUGCCCCGAGAUGAGUUCUCCCUGACUCCUUGAGAGUCCUGAAGGAACGUUGAAGACGACGACGUUGAUAGGCCGGGUGUGUAAGCGCAGCGAUGCGUUGAGCUAACCGGUACUAAUGAACCGUGAGGCUUAACCUU